GGACUACGAGGGUAUCUAAUCCGGUUUGCUCCCCCAGCUUUCGUCCCUCACUGUCGGAGCCGUUCUGGUGAGACGCCUUCGCCACAGGUGGUCCCCCAAGGAUUACAGGAUUUCACUCCUACCCCUGGAGUACCUCUCACCUCUUCCGGUCCCUAGAUUGCCAGUAUCCCUUGAACGCCUAUCGGUUAAGCCGGUAGAUUUCCCAAGAGACUUAACAAUCCAGCUACGGACGCUUUAAGCCCAGUAAUAGUGGCCACCACUCGAGCCGCCGGUAUUACCGCGGCGGCUGGCACCGGUCUUGCCCGGCCCUUUCUCCACCUGCUUUUUACACAGAUUAACAGCCCGAAUUUACGGGCACUCGGGGUUCCCUUAUCACGAUUUCUCGCAUUGUAAAGUUUUCGCGCCUGCUGCCCCCCAUAGG
Molecule: ribosomal RNA, 421 nt
Filed under: uncultured Methanolinea sp.
Lineage: Archaea; Methanobacteriati; Methanobacteriota; Methanomicrobia; Methanomicrobiales; Methanoregulaceae
Description: partial 16S ribosomal RNA
Source: RNAcentral